RNAcentral lists this ribosomal RNA (500 nucleotides) under uncultured bacterium. RNAcentral's name for it is "bacterial SSU rRNA". It matches the Rfam family "Bacterial small subunit ribosomal RNA", at positions 30 to 518 of the family's 1533-position model. The record is from RNAcentral.
UGAACGCUAGCGACAGGCUUAACACAUGCAAGUCGAGGGGCAUCACGGGAGUAGCAAUACAACGUGGUGGCGACCGGCGCACGGGUGAGUAACGCGUAUGCAACCUACCUAUCAGGAGGGGAAUAACCCGGCGAAAGUCGGACUAAUACCGCAUAAAACAGGGGCACCGCAUGGUGAUAUUUGUUAAAGAAAUUCGCUGAUAGAUGGGCAUGCGUUCCAUUAGGUAGUUGGUGAGGUAACGGCUCACCAAGCCGACGAUGGAUAGGGGAACUGAGAGGUUGGUCCCCCACACUGGUACUGAGACACGGACCAGACUCCUACGGGAGGCAGCAGUGAGGAAUAUUGGUCAAUGGGCGGGAGCCUGAACCAGCCAAGUCCGCGUGAAGGAAGAAGGAUCUAUGGUUCGUAAACUUCUUUUGCAGGGGAAUAAAGUGCAGGACGUGUCCUGUUUUGUAUGUACCCUGAGAAUAAGGAUCGGCUAACUCCGUGCCAGCCGCCGC